RNAcentral lists this ribosomal RNA (387 nucleotides) under uncultured bacterium. RNAcentral describes it as "bacterial SSU rRNA". It matches the Rfam family "Bacterial small subunit ribosomal RNA", at positions 30 to 417 of the family's 1533-position model. The record is from RNAcentral.
AUUGAACGCUGGCGGAAUGCUUUACACAUGCAAGUCGAACGGCAGCACGGGGGCAACCCUGGUGGCGAGUGGCGAACGGGUGAGUAAUGCAUCGGAACGUGCCAUUGAGUGGGGGAUAACGUAGCGAAAGUUGCGCUAAUACCGCAUAUUCUGUGAGCAGGAAAGCAGGGGACCGCAAGGCCUUGCGCUCUUUGAGCGGCCGAUGUCAGAUUAGCUAGUUGGUGAGGUAACGGCUUACCAAGGCGACGAUCUGUAGCGGGUCUGAGAGGAUGAUCCGCCACACUGGAACUGAGACACGGUCCAGACUCCUACGGGAGGCAGCAGUGGGGAAUUUUGGACAAUGGGCGCAAGCCUGAUCCAGCCAUGCCGCGUGAGUGAAGAAGGCCU